RNAcentral lists this long non-coding RNA (943 nucleotides) under Lathyrus oleraceus (garden pea). RNAcentral's name for it is "Pisum sativum (pea) long non-coding RNA (PSAT_LNC009051)". Lineage: Eukaryota; Viridiplantae; Streptophyta; Magnoliopsida; Fabales; Fabaceae. The record is from RNAcentral.
GCCCCUAAGCCCAUAGUGGAGACUUAAAACUACUGACCCAAAGAAUUGAAAUCAUUUCAAGAAAAAAUUCUCUCUCUUCACUCCCAAACGCAGUAUGCUCUGCAAGUUCUCUCACCCUUUAUGAGAAACCUUCACCAGAGAAGAUGGUGGUUUCCAGCCACCUGAGGAGGCGUCACCUUCUUCUUCGGCAUACCAACCCAAAACCAAAAACGUUAAACACUAACCCUCCUUCUUUUUUCCUCCUCGAUCCGAAUCUGAAAACCUUUUCUUCCAAAUCCUCCAUAUAUGACCGGGUCGACCUCCCCAACUCAAAACUCAAAUUCUCUCCCUAAACCCAAAGUCAAAUUCCCUCUUACAUACGAACCCAGAACUAUCAAUCCCCAAAAUGACAAUAGAAAAAGCCAUAAACCACAAAUACGAAACCAAACCCUAAAUUAAAAUUAGCCACCAAUGUUAAUGAUUUCAAAAACACAAGGGGUUUAUGCUCAACUAUAUGUGACGAAGACAAUGGUGACCGAAAAUUAAAGAGAUAAUGAAGACUCACCAGAUCGGAGCUAGUCCGACAAUCUUUUCGGCAAGGUCAAUAUCUUUCGAAUCUUUUUGUCUUCUUACUUUUCUAUUCUUCCGUCCCUUUUUCUUCUCCUUCUCUGUUAGACACUUUAGAGUAUGCUUAUAGCUCAACCUUACUCAAACUCUGAUGCUGAGUUUGAGAGGUUAAUAAAAAAUGAGCUUUAUGAUUGGUGAGGGAAGAAAUUCGUAGAGUAACCUUAGGACCUCCUUUGCGAUGGCGUAAUAGUCGUAUUUAUAGGGCAUGAAUGGGAAAUGAGGGUGGAAUGAGAUACGUGCGAAAAUUGUUAGUUUCUUAGGAUUUUUCCUUGACUCGUGUGUAAAUCCGUUGAGAAUGAGGUGAGCUGUGAUUUUCUGUAGAUUAUCUUGUUGGUAC